AGAUUGAACGCUGGCGGCAUGCCUAACACAUGCAAGUCGAACGGGAGUAGCAAUACUCUAGUGGCGGACGGGUGAGGAAUACGUAGGAAUUUGCCCUUAAGUGGGGGAUAACCCGGGAAACCCGGAUUAAUACCGCAUGACCUCGAAGAGCAAAGUGGGGAUCGCAAGACCUCACGCUUUUGGAGAAGCCUACGUCGGAUUAGCUAGUUGGUGAGGUAAUGGCUCACCAAGGCGACGAUCCGUAACUGGUCUGAGAGGAUGAUCAGUCGACACCGGAACUGAGACACGGUCCGGACUCCGUACGGGAGCGAGCCAGGUGGGGAAUAGUUGGACAAGUGGGCGACAAGCCUGACUCCAGCAAUCGACCGCGUAGUGUAGAAGACGGUCCGUUUACGGUUAGUAAAGGCGUAACGUUUAAGGUUAA
This 424-nucleotide ribosomal RNA is filed under the name uncultured soil bacterium. RNAcentral describes it as "bacterial SSU rRNA". It matches the Rfam family "Bacterial small subunit ribosomal RNA", at positions 26 to 449 of the family's 1533-position model. The record is from RNAcentral.